CGGCAACAGCUCAAAUUUGAAAUCUGGCUCUUGAAGAGUCUGAGUUGUAAUUUGCAGAGGGAGCUUUGGCGUUGGUAGCGGCUCAAGUUCUUUGGAACAGGACGUCACAGAGGGUGAGAAUCCCGUUUGUGGUCGCCAGCCUUCGCCGUGUAAAGCCCCUUCGAC
This 165-nucleotide ribosomal RNA is filed under the name Phoma sp. RNAcentral describes it as "partial large subunit ribosomal RNA". It matches the Rfam family "Eukaryotic large subunit ribosomal RNA", at positions 99 to 261 of the family's 3401-position model. Lineage: Eukaryota; Fungi; Ascomycota; Dothideomycetes; Pleosporales; Didymellaceae. The record is from RNAcentral.